UGGGUUGUUUUAGAAUUUUUAUU
RNAcentral lists this non-coding RNA (23 nucleotides) under Cricetulus griseus (Chinese hamster). The record is from RNAcentral. Lineage: Eukaryota; Metazoa; Chordata; Mammalia; Rodentia; Cricetidae.